Molecule: ribosomal RNA, 503 nt
Filed under: uncultured bacterium
Lineage: Bacteria
Description: partial 16S ribosomal RNA
Rfam family: Bacterial small subunit ribosomal RNA
Source: RNAcentral
AUUGAACGCUGGCGGCAUGCCUUACACAUGCAAGUCGAACGGCAGCAUAGAGGGCUUGCUCUCUGAUGGCGAGUGGCGAACGGGUGAGUAAAGCAUCGGAACGUACCGUGUAGUGGGGGAUAACGUAGCGAAAGUUACGCUAAUACCGCAUACGUACUGAGGUAGAAAGCAGGGGAUCGUAAGACCUUGCGCUAUACGAGCGGCCGAUGUCAGAUUAGCUAGUUGGUAGGGCAAAGGCCUACCAAGGCGACGAUCUGUAGCGGGUCUGAGAGGAUGAUCCGCCACACUGGGACUGAGACACGGCCCAGACUCCUGCGGGAGGCAGCAGUGGGGAAUUUUGGCCAAUGGGGCAACCCUGAUCCAGCCAUGCCGCGUGAGUGAAGAAGGCCUUCGGGUUGUAAAGCUCUUUCGGCCGGGAAGAAAUCGCACAGGCUAAUACCCUGUGUGGAUGACGGUACCGGCAUAAGAAGCACCGGCUAACUACGUGCCAGCAGCCGCCGUAA